GAUUAACGCUAGCGGCAGGCAUAAUACAUGCAAGUUGAACGGGAUUAGUUUAGCAAUAGACUAUGAGAGUGGCGCACGGGUGCGUAACACGUAUGCAACCUGCCCUUGACUGGAGGAUAGCCUCUCGAAAGAGAGAUUAAUAUUCCAUAACAUAUAGGUUAAGCAUUUAAUUUAUAUCAAAGCUCCGGCGGUCAAGGAUGGGCAUGCGGUUGAUUAGCUAGUUGGUGAGGUAACGGCUCACCAAGGCGACGAUCAAUAGGGGGUCUGAGAGGAUGUCCCCCCACACUGGUACUGAGACACGGACCAGACUCCUACGGGAGGCAGCAGUAGGGAAUAUUGGUCAAUGGAGGCAACUCUGAACCAGCCAUGCCGCGUGCAGGAAGACUGCCCUAUGGGUUGUAAACUGCUUUUGUACGGGAAGAAAUGUUGCUACGUGUAGCAAUUUGACGGUACCGUAAGAAUAAGGAUCGGCUAACUUCGUG
This 482-nucleotide ribosomal RNA is filed under the name uncultured bacterium. RNAcentral's name for it is "bacterial SSU rRNA". It matches the Rfam family "Bacterial small subunit ribosomal RNA", at positions 28 to 507 of the family's 1533-position model. The record is from RNAcentral.